UGAGCUUUACAGCCUCUCAGCCCUAAGACCC
Molecule: non-coding RNA, 31 nt
Filed under: Homo sapiens (human)
Lineage: Eukaryota; Metazoa; Chordata; Mammalia; Primates; Hominidae
Source: RNAcentral